This 68-nucleotide transfer RNA is filed under the name Marmota monax (woodchuck). RNAcentral's name for it is "tRNA.Ala". The stretch from base 3 to 61 matches the Rfam family "tRNA", at positions 7 to 64 of the family's 71-position model. From Rfam's summary of the family: Transfer RNA (tRNA) molecules are approximately 80 nucleotides in length. Their secondary structure includes four short double-helical elements and three loops (D, anti-codon, and T loops). The record is from RNAcentral. Lineage: Eukaryota; Metazoa; Chordata; Mammalia; Rodentia; Sciuridae.
CUAUGGCUCAGUGAUAGAGCACUUGCCUAGCAUGCAUGAGGCACUGGGUUCCAUCCUCAGUUAUAAGA